Molecule: ribosomal RNA, 208 nt
Filed under: uncultured bacterium
Lineage: Bacteria
Description: partial 16S ribosomal RNA
Rfam family: Bacterial small subunit ribosomal RNA
Source: RNAcentral
GGAUUGCAGGCUGCAACCCGCCUGUAUGAAGUUGGAAUCGCUAGUAAUCGCGGAUCAGCAUGCCGCGGUGAAUACGUUCCCGGGCCUUGUACACACCGCCCGUCACACCAUGAGAGUCGGGAACACCCGAAGUCCGUAGUCUAACUUUCACGAGAGGACGCGGCCGAAGGUGGGUUCGAUAAUUGGGGUGAAGUCGUAACAAGGUACC